Molecule: small nucleolar RNA, 135 nt
Filed under: Mola mola (ocean sunfish)
Lineage: Eukaryota; Metazoa; Chordata; Actinopteri; Tetraodontiformes; Molidae
Source: RNAcentral
GCUGAGGUCUAUCCCGACAGACCUUCAACUGUAAGGCCAUGUCGUUGGAAAUACCUCACAGAGUAAAUCUGUAGUUUCGCUUUACCCACAUGUUCACAACCAUGAGCCUUGUUGGGAUAUCACUGCAGAACAGAU